UAGGGAAUCUUCGGCAAUGGACGAAAGUCUGACCGAGCAACGCCGCGUGAGUGAAGAAGGUUUUCGGAUCGUAAAACUCUGUUGUUAGAGAAGAACAAGGACGUUAGUAACUGAACGUCCCCUGACGGUAUCUAACCAGACAGCCACGGCUAACUACGUGCCAGCAGCCGCGGUAAUACGUAGGUGGCAAGCGUAGUGCGGAUGUAUUGGGCGUAAAGCGAGCGGAGGCGGUUUCUUAAGUCUGAUGUGAAAGCCCCCGGCUCAACCGGGGAGGGUGAUUGGAAACUGGGAGACUUGAGUGCAGAAGAGGGGAGUGGAAUUCGAUGUGUAGCGGUGAGAUGCGUAGAUGUAUGGAGGAACACCAGUGGCGAAGGCGGCUCUCUGGUCUGUAACUGACGCUGAGGCUCGGAAGCGUGGGGAGAAAACAGG
RNAcentral lists this ribosomal RNA (429 nucleotides) under Gemmatimonadota bacterium. RNAcentral describes it as "Gemmatimonadetes bacterium partial 16S ribosomal RNA". It matches the Rfam family "Bacterial small subunit ribosomal RNA", at positions 355 to 776 of the family's 1533-position model. The record is from RNAcentral. Lineage: Bacteria; Pseudomonadati; Gemmatimonadota.